This is a long non-coding RNA of Sabethes cyaneus, 877 nucleotides long. RefSeq lists it as uncharacterized. The record is from RefSeq and is a predicted model, not a curated record. Lineage: Eukaryota; Metazoa; Arthropoda; Insecta; Diptera; Culicidae. The transcript has 3 exons.
AACUUCGCUUGCUUCAACUUUCAGAAAAAAUCGGGGCAAAAAGACUCAGUUGAGGGAUUCAAUUCAUCCGGACGAAAAAAAUUAGCGUUUAAAAACGCAUUAGCGCACAGAUAAAGAACGGAUAAAUAACAAUAAGCAACUUUGACAAUGAAGUUCCCGAUUCACAGACUUGAUACAGAUUGUUAGCAUCAUGUUUACCACAAUGAGUCUUGUAGAAAAACAGCGACACUGGCAUUCUAUAUAUAUUGAUUCUACUGUGUAACUUUAUCGCAAGCUUUAUCGCUUUCGUUAUUGUUAAACAAUGUUACAACCUGGAGCUCAAACAUCUACUUUUAUUUCAUCUAAAUAAUCGUAUAGGAUAUUUACCACGGACCGAAUUGUAUUUGGUGCAUUCGAACAGGAUGUGUAUAAUGUUCUCGUCAACGUUGCAGUUGUCGUAUCGUCCGGAAGGAAUCAAGUUCCAGCUAAAAAGUCUUUCUUUAAUCGCUGUGUGAAACCACACUGUAAAUUAGUGGCUUUGGUCAAAAAUGCAAAAUCAUCGGCGAAUUGGUAUAACCAACCUUCUUCGUUGAUGACCUCAUGGAUUAUCGAUGUAUAUAUAUUAAACAGUAUAGGCGAAAGUGGACAUCCCUGAGGAAGGCCUUUAUUCGUCUUUCUGAUUAGUUCUGUUCCAUCGUUCAUUGUUAGUGAGACAUUUCUAUAUUUAAGAUAAUUGUAUAUCCAGUCAAUGAUAUCAUAGGGAAUUUUUUUAAUUUCUAGUAUCUCAAUUAAUUUAUUUAGGUCGACAUUAUCGAAUGCCUUAGAGAGAUCGAGAAAUGUAACAAUAGCAAUUUCUCCCCUUCGUCUUGUUUCAUGAACAUUGGAUAUUAGAGCAUUA